This 85-nucleotide transfer RNA is filed under the name Hassallia byssoidea VB512170. RNAcentral's name for it is "tRNA-Ser". It matches the Rfam family "tRNA". From Rfam's summary of the family: Transfer RNA (tRNA) molecules are approximately 80 nucleotides in length. Their secondary structure includes four short double-helical elements and three loops (D, anti-codon, and T loops). RNAcentral also lists the same sequence under 4 other names. Lineage: Bacteria; Bacillati; Cyanobacteriota; Cyanophyceae; Nostocales; Tolypothrichaceae. The record is from RNAcentral.
GGAGAGGUGGCAGAGUGGUCGAUUGCGUCCGACUUGAAAUCGGAUGAUGUGAAAGCAUCCGGGAGUUCGAAUCUCCCCUUCUCCG